AGCAAUCGCAUGGUCAGUAGACA
RNAcentral lists this microRNA (23 nucleotides) under Plutella xylostella (diamondback moth). RNAcentral describes it as "pxy-miR-2733b-5p". The record is from miRBase by way of RNAcentral. Lineage: Eukaryota; Metazoa; Arthropoda; Insecta; Lepidoptera; Plutellidae.